AACGACUCUCGACAACGGAUAUCUCGGCUCUCGCAUCGAUGAAGAACGUAGCGAAAUGCGAUACUUGGUGUGAAUUGCAGAAUCCCGUGAACCAUCGAGUCUUUGAACGCAAGUUGCGCCCGAAGCCAAUAGGCCGAGGGCACGUCUGCUUGGGUGUCACGCA
RNAcentral lists this ribosomal RNA (163 nucleotides) under Deverra denudata. RNAcentral's name for it is "5.8S ribosomal RNA". It matches the Rfam family "5.8S ribosomal RNA". From Rfam's summary of the family: 5.8S ribosomal RNA (5.8S rRNA) is a component of the large subunit of the eukaryotic ribosome. RNAcentral also lists the same sequence under 2 other names. Lineage: Eukaryota; Viridiplantae; Streptophyta; Magnoliopsida; Apiales; Apiaceae. The record is from RNAcentral.